RNAcentral lists this ribosomal RNA (253 nucleotides) under uncultured bacterium. RNAcentral's name for it is "partial 16S ribosomal RNA". It matches the Rfam family "Bacterial small subunit ribosomal RNA", at positions 524 to 776 of the family's 1533-position model. The record is from RNAcentral.
UACGGAGGGUGCAAGCGUUGUUCGGAAUUAUUGGGCGUAAAGCGCAUGUAGGCGGCCAUCUAAGUCUGGUGUGAAAGCCCGGGGCUUAACUCCGGAAGUGCACUGGAUACUGGACGGCUAGAGGACGAGAGAGGAUAGUGGAAUUCCUGGUGUAGGGGUGAAAUCCGUAGAUAUCAGGAGGAACAUCAGUGGCGAAGGCGGCUAUCUGGCUCGUAUCUGACGCUGAGAUGCGAAAGCGUGGGGAGCAAACAGG